AUCCUCUCCUGCCCAUAGGCGGCUCCCAGGCGCUCUGCCAAGUGGACGCCGAGGCGCACCUGGACUCAGCACCGCCCCAGUCGCUCAUUGGGCGCCAGGAAAUGAUGGACGUGGCUACCAAGGGCAACAGCGCGAUGAUUGGCUUGUUGGGAGUCUCAACAAACACUACUCUCUUUGCUGGAGAGGUGCGAGCUGAGGCUUCUGUGGAAGCGGAGAGCCGGAGCGCAGCAUGGGGAGAAGGAGGACCGGGAUCAGCGGGGAGGAUCCAGGUGAUUCACCUCAUCCAGACUCAGACUCCCCUUCCCCGCUGCUCCACCCCCACCUCUCUGCUCACUUCAUCAGUAGGAUCUGAAGCGUCUGACAGCCGCGCCUUCGUCAUGGCGACAUCCUUGACAAAAUGAGUCGACCAGCUGAGGCAGAUCCAGAGGAGCGAUGCGGUUCCUCCUGUGCAGCCUGCUGAUGAGGUGACGAGACCCCAUGGACAUGACGCUCUGCAGGGAUCACUCUGAAAUGGAAAAGGAAGAACUGAUUCAAAAAAGGUUCAAGCCCAUCUUUUGAAAAUGUUUCAGGUUCCUCCAUCAUUGAUUAAAACCUCUGCAUUGAACAUUCGAUUGUUUUCACGUUGGAAACAAGCCAUCAUGUCUUUCAACAGUUUUUUUAAAUGGAGCCAUCUGGUCCUUUUACACACAUGUCCUUUUAGCCCUUUGCCAACAGCAUGAAUUAGCAUGACUCAGGUGGGUGCGCUUCAGAUUGACAGUCUUUUCCAACAAAACGGUUUCCACCACCUUUUCUGUACCUCCUUCAAUGUGGUUCUUACUGUGCUGACCGUGUCUGGAAAUGCGUCCUAACCCUAACCCUAACCCAUCAGCGCCUGUCAGUCACUGAUUGGCUAGGGGGUGGGGUCACUGGUUGCUCCAGAGUUUUCUGCCUGCAGCCAUUUCCUGGUUCAGAGUCUGACAAAAAGCCAGAAACUCAUCAAAAUGUUUAAUCAAUCACUGCUGUUGUUGUGCCAUGUUGAGUCUCUGUGUAGCACACAGUUUACCGAGUAGCGGUCGCGAGUGCCGCGGGUCAUUUAUACGUUUUUACAAAAACAAUCAUAUGAACCCCUGUGAUCAUCGAGGGUUGUUUUAAAACUGCUGCUCUGUGCUUAGACACCUUCAGCCUAUCAAUCCUGUCAAAUGCAAAGGGUGACGAUGACUCAGGGGUAAGGAGUGUAUCCCGUAAUUGGUGGGUUGCUGGUUUGAACCCAGGCUCCCCAGUCAGUCAUGUUCUUGGACAAGACACUUCACCCUCCCUGCCUGCUGGAGGUGGUCGAAGGCACUGGUCGUGCCGUGUUUGGCAUCUGCGCCACUGUCAGUGCGCCCCAGGGCAGCUGUGGUCACAUUGUAGCUCAUCACCGCCAGUGUGAGAAUGUGUGUGUGAAUGUAUUAAUCAUUUGUUUUAUGAUUAUUUUAUCAAUCAACAUAUAUAUAUAUAUAUAUAUAUAUAUGUGUGUGUGUGUGUGUG
RNAcentral lists this long non-coding RNA (1506 nucleotides) under Nothobranchius furzeri (turquoise killifish). Its description in RNAcentral is "lncRNA (ENSNFUG00015002662.1)". The record is from RNAcentral. Lineage: Eukaryota; Metazoa; Chordata; Actinopteri; Cyprinodontiformes; Nothobranchiidae.